AGACAACUCAACUUUUUAUCAAAAUCAAUCUCUUCAGGUUGCAAUAAGGUGUCAUCAAUAAUAUCAGCUGGUGCUACAGGUAGUGAAUUACAGACCCAACUCCUCAUGUUCAAAUUUUCUUGAAACAUUUCAUCGUAUGGCCUUUUCCUUGUGAAAGUUUCCAUGAGCAUAAUGCCGUAACUGUACACAUCACAUCUUCUAGAAACUAAUCCAACUGAUCCAUACUCUGAUUCAGUAUUACCAGAGUAAUUAGUUUCUUGAUGAGCCAGAUAA
RNAcentral lists this unclassified non-coding RNA (273 nucleotides) under Hevea brasiliensis (rubber tree). Lineage: Eukaryota; Viridiplantae; Streptophyta; Magnoliopsida; Malpighiales; Euphorbiaceae. The record is from RNAcentral.